GUUACACAUGCUAGUCGAACGCGUCUUGGUCAAUGAAGUUGAGUGCUUGCAUUUAACUGAUUUGACAUUAAGACGAGUGGCGAACUGGUGAGUAACACGUGGGUAACUUGCCCCGAAGCGGGGGAUAACAUUUGGAAACAGGUGCUAAUACCGCAUAACAACAAAAACCACAUGGUUUUUGUUUAAAAGAUGGUUUCGGCUAUCACUUUGGGAUGGACCCGCGGCGUAUUAGCUAGUUGGUGAGGUAAUGGCUCACCAAGGCAAUGAUACGUAGCCGACCUGAGAGGGUAAUCGGCCACAUUGGGACUGAGACACGGCCCAAACUCCUACGGGAGGCAGCAGUAGGGAAUCUUCCACAAUGGACGAAAGUCUGAUGGAGCAACGCCGCGUGAGUGAUGAAGGGUUUCGGCUCGUAAAACUCUGUUGUUGGAGAAGAACGGGUGUCAGAGUAACUGUUGACAUCGUGACGGUAUCCAACCAGAAAGCCACGGCUAACUACGUGCCAGCAGCCGCGGUAAUACGUAGGUGGCAAGCGUUGUCCGGAUUUAUUGGGCGUAAAGCGAGCGCAGGCGGUUUUUUAGGUCUGAUGUGAAAGCCUUCGGCUUAACCGGAGAAGUGCAUCGGAAACCGGGAGACUUGAGUGCAGAAGAGGACAGUGGAACUCCAUGUGUAGCGGUGAAAUGCGUAGAUAUAUGGAAGAACACCAGUGGCGAAGGCGGCUGUCUGGUCUGCAACUGACGCUGAGGCUCGAAAGCAUGGGUAGCGAACAGGAUUAGAUACCCUGGUAGUCCAUGCCGUAAACGAUGAGUGCUAAGUGUUGGAGGGUUUCCGCCCUUCAGUGCUGCAGCUAACGCAUUAAGCACUCCGCCUGGGGGAGUACGACCGCAAGGUUGAAACUCAAAGGAAUUGACGGGGGCCCGCACAAGCGGUGGAGCAUGUGGUUUAAUUCGAUGCUACGCGAAGAACCUUACCAGGUCUUGACAUCUUCUGCUAACCUAAGAGAUUAGGCGUUCCCUUCGGGGACGGAAUGACAGGUGGUGCAUGGUUGUCGUCAGCUCGUG
RNAcentral lists this ribosomal RNA (1061 nucleotides) under Lentilactobacillus hilgardii. Its description in RNAcentral is "bacterial SSU rRNA". It matches the Rfam family "Bacterial small subunit ribosomal RNA", at positions 48 to 1064 of the family's 1533-position model. Lineage: Bacteria; Bacillati; Bacillota; Bacilli; Lactobacillales; Lactobacillaceae. The record is from RNAcentral.